Talpa occidentalis (Iberian mole) is the source of this 824-nucleotide long non-coding RNA. RefSeq lists it as uncharacterized. The record is from RefSeq and is a predicted model, not a curated record. NCBI's taxonomy places the organism in Eukaryota, Metazoa, Chordata, Mammalia, Eulipotyphla, Talpidae. The transcript has 3 exons.
UGGAAACUCUGGCCAGAGGCCGAGCUGUGAGCGCGCUUCGUCCCAGGGAGGAACAGAGGGCCGAGACGCGCACGGAGGCCCAGAGGGAACUCGCUGUGUACCGGCACAUGUGCAGUGUGCCUCAAAGGCUCGGCGGCUAUUUCUAAUCCUUUUUUAAUAAUAUGGCCUGACACCAACCGAAGCUUUUACAUGGAGAUGAAAAGCUUAUUUGCUUGUAAAAUUUUCGAAAGGAAUUAUUGCAAUAAAGGAACAUCUUGUUCUGGAAGCCUGAUUUGCUGUGCCCGGUGGCUGGUGGUUGUGAAUCACCGGGUGACGGCAGGCCCCACGGAGCAGGUCUCGGCAUGCUCUCUCCCGGGAAACGCGGAGAGCCACAGCCUACGACCAGGAGCGAUCAGCUGCAGCCCUGGACCCGCCCAGCGCCCCCAGUCCGCCAAGCCUGUGAACAAUGCACCCAAGCACCGUUCAUCCACUCCUUAGUUUUGGGCAACAUUUCCAGGUGACAAAGCUUAUUCAAAGGGCUUUGCUCAUUUCAGAAAAGUCCUGGAACCUGGGUUUGUCUGUAACACUCAGCGCUCACAAGUGUCCUCUAUGCACCAAUUUCUUUCACGCACGCCUUCCUCCUGACCUUCGAAUGGCCCCAAAGACGCUUCAUCAUGUGUAUUGUUCUGUCCCUUGUGAGGUGCUUUCCACCCCUGCCAGAGCUGGAGGCAGGGACUGCACAGCCGCUGGCCGGUGGAUUCUGAGGCACAGACACAGCUCCCAGCGCGCCGGAAGCCAGCGGGAGCAGCGGGAGCAGCGCUGCUGGAAGUGGAUGGAACCCCGGC